Molecule: non-coding RNA, 232 nt
Organism: Chelonoidis abingdonii (Abingdon island giant tortoise)
Lineage: Eukaryota; Metazoa; Chordata; Testudines; Testudinidae
Source: RefSeq, a predicted model, not a curated record
CUUUGUCUUCUGACUCAGAGGUUUUGCUUCAGAUUGAUGGUGUUACAGAAGACAAACUGGAAAAGUAUGGUGCAGAAAUAAUUCAAGUCAUGCAAAAGUACUCUGAAUGGACAUUGUCAGAAGACACUGACUCUUACCAAAAUGCGGGCACGGAUGCUGGAAAACGUGAGCAUGAGAUGGUAGAGGACACACAUACAACUUCUAGCUAUUUUUGCAAUAGCACAAACAAAGG